Molecule: ribosomal RNA, 253 nt
Filed under: uncultured bacterium
Lineage: Bacteria
Description: partial 16S ribosomal RNA
Rfam family: Bacterial small subunit ribosomal RNA
Source: RNAcentral
GACAGAGGUGCCGAGCGUUAGGCGGAAUCACUGGGCUUAAAGCGUGUGUAGGCGGGUGCCUAAGUAACUUGUGAAAUCCCACGGCUCAACCGUGGAACUGCUGGGUAUACUGGGUGCCUUGAGCCACUUAGGGGCUACCGGAACAAAUGGUGGAGCGGUGAAAUGCGUAGAUAUCAUUUGGAACGCCAAUGGUGAAAACAGGUAGCUGGGAGUGUGCUGACGCUGAGACACGAAAGCCAGGGGAGCGAACGGG